RNA transcript from Setaria italica (foxtail millet), 1553 nucleotides. RefSeq lists it as uncharacterized. The record is from RefSeq and is a predicted model, not a curated record. Lineage: Eukaryota; Viridiplantae; Streptophyta; Magnoliopsida; Poales; Poaceae. The transcript has 2 exons.
AAAAGGUCCUCGUCUGAGCCAAGCGACGGGCGCCGUCGUCUCGCGAGACGAUGACGCGGGCUCGUGCUCCAACACCCGGCAACGACCUCCACGCCCCGUUGUACGAUCCAUCCGCGUACCUCCGGAUCGAGUGCGAAAAUCAACCCGUGCUGCUCCAACCGAUUCCCCUCCAGCUCCCCUCCCUCCGCGCGGGAGGCUGACGGGAGGCGAGGCCGGAUAGCUGAGCCGCCGCCGCGCCACGCCUCCUCUGGCUCCCCUCCCUCCGCAUGGGACGCCGACGGGAGGCGAGGCCGGAUACCUGGGCCGCCGCCGCGCCACGCCUCUUGCCGCGGGAGCUGAGACUCAGAGGAGGAGGACGACCAGUAGUGCGGCGGCGGCCAUGAGUUGGAGGAAGGGAGGGGGCGCAGAUUGCGUGGCUAGGAGCUGGGUGCUGCUGCUCUGCGUCGGGAGCUUCUGCCUCGGCCUGCUCUUCACGAACAGGUAACCAAUCAAUCAAUCCGGUGCCCGAUAGGAUGUUCAGAUUCGAGUAUAUUGGUGGCUCGUUCUGCAUAGUCCCGAGUAUUCGUAGGAUGGAUGCGGGUGAGAUCCGUGGUCUUCUGGUGAGCUCACUUCUACAUUUUGCGGGGAGCGGAUGCGGGUGAGAUCUCUCCAGGAUGUGGACAUUGCCUGAAGCAAGUGAGGUAGCUAUACCAAAUGAAAGAAGAGGGAAAGAGGUAGCUAUACCAAAUGAAAGAAGAGGGAAAGAGUCUAAGCUUAUGGCUGGAGACUGUAGUAUAACGAAAUUGUUUCUAAUUGCAGUAUACAAAAAGUAAUUUUUUUCUCUCUUUGAUUUGAUUCAGGGAAGCUUCUACGAAAUUGUUUCUAAUUGCAGUUGAGCUGGCUUCUUGCAGGACUUUAGGUAAGACAAUAGCAAAUCUGGAGACAGAACUCUCUGCUGCAAGAACUCUACAAGAUUAUUUUGGGGUGAAUCCAAAUCCGUUGUUUUGCUAUGCUGCCAAAGUUUCUGUGGUUCUUUCUAUUGCUUAUAGUACAUCUAAGAGAACAAAUUUUCUUUGAGAAAAGGAUCAUGGAUGAUGGCGUGAUGCUGCAGCUUCCGGUGGAUUUGAUCGAUAAGAUCCUGUCUCACAUCACCAAUCCUGCCUCCCUAGCAUGCUUCAACCUGCAAGUUUUGGCGUAAUAUCAUAAAGGGGAGAAGCUUCUUUCUUGAUUGCCUCAGGAAGCAUGCAUUGCAUUGAGUGAAGAAGCAACAAAAUGGCAUACAUAGAUCAUAUUUAUCCCUAAUCACCUUGAUUUGAAUGAAUUAAAUAACUUGCAGACAACUUAAAAGAUAAAUCAUUGUACAAGCUGUCGGUUUCACUAUCUAUAUGUGACUUACAGACGUCUAAACUGUUGAACAUACCCUAAAAUGCUUGGAGAGUACACCCCUCCCGCUCCAUUGAAAAGCCAAAAGCCACCCUUUCAACGUUCCCUAACGGUGCCGGUAUUCUAUACCAUUGCUGCAUGCUUCCAUCUUUUAAUUAAUACAAGAAAGAGGUUAGAAUUAUUGUGUUCAA